AUUGAACGCUGGCGGCAGGACUAACACAUGCAAGUCGAACGAGAGGCGGACGGGUGAGUAAUGUCUGGGAAACUGCCCGAUGGAGGGGGAUAACUACUGGAAACGGUAGCUAAUACCGCAUACAAUCGGAUGUGCCCAGAUGGGAUUAGCUAGUAGGUGGGGUAACGGCGCACCUAGGCGACGAUCCCUAGCUGGUCGGAGAGGAUGACCAACCAAACUGGACCUGAGACACGGUCCAGCUUCCUACGUGAUGCAGCAGUGGGGAAUAUUGGACAAUGGGCGCAAGACUGAUGCAGCCAUGCCGCGUGUAUGAAGAAGGCCUUCGGGUUGUAAAGUACGUUCAGCGGGGAGGCGUUACCCGCAGAAGAAGCACCGGCUAACUCCGUGCCAGCCGCCGCGGUAAUUC
RNAcentral lists this ribosomal RNA (406 nucleotides) under uncultured bacterium. RNAcentral describes it as "partial 16S ribosomal RNA". It matches the Rfam family "Bacterial small subunit ribosomal RNA", at positions 30 to 526 of the family's 1533-position model. The record is from RNAcentral.